UUGGGGUUCGCAUCCUACUCACCAGCUGGUCCUGAGGCUGCAUCUGCCUCUCCAGGGUCUUAGAUACAUGACGGCACUGUUGUCUUCCUGAAAACCUCUUCAUCCUGCAGAAGGUGCAACUCCACAGCAUCCUGAGAGGUUGGACAUAAGCUGCUGGGAGCACAAAGGAACCCUGCCUGCCAGGCUUGAGUGUCAGAAUCUGGGCUUUCACCUGCAGGGACCUCAGGCCUCCAUCAGCCAGGCUUGGAAAGAAUGAAUGGUGCCUCUCGGUGAAUUCCUACAACCUGAAUCCUGUGACCCCACCUGUGAUGGCCCAAUGUUAUUGAAAUUACUGACUCCAUCCACUUAGCAAGUGGUAAAUACUCUGCAGGCAUAGAUUUGACUAAUGUGUUCUGUUCAGCGCCUGUUUCAACAGAUCUCAGCUGCAGGUUGCUUUCACCCCUGAAGGGACACAAUAGACCGUUAUCUGGUUACCACGGGGUACCUCGACAGUUCUGCCACCAUAGACAAUCUUUGGAGGCAGGAUUUGAACUGCAUCUGACAUUCUCUAGGAGUACAGGUGUAACAUCACCCUGAAGACACCCUUCUUUCAGCAAAUUCAUUUGACACACUCAGGACAUGACUCACAAAGAACUCAUAGAAAAGGAUGGGGUUUGUGUUUCCACACGGAUGUGGGAUUAAACUAAAACAAAAAAGGAUGGGCCACUGCCCCAGGCAUAGUACAGGGAUCCGCACCAAUUUCUGGCCAUUAUCUGGUCAGUCGAGGGAUGCUCCAUCCCU
RNAcentral lists this non-coding RNA (780 nucleotides) under Pan troglodytes (chimpanzee). The record is from RNAcentral. Lineage: Eukaryota; Metazoa; Chordata; Mammalia; Primates; Hominidae.